UAGGGAAUCUUCCACAAUGGACGCAAGUCUGAUGGAGCAACGCCGCGUGAGUGAAGAAGGUUUUCGGAUCGUAAAGCUCUGUUGUUGGUGAAGAAGGAUAGAGGCAGUAACUGGUCUUUAUUUGACGGUAAUCAACCAGAAAGUCACGGCUAACUACGUGCCAGCAGCCGCGGUAAUACGUAGGUGGCAAGCGUUGUCCGGAUUUAUUGGGCGUAAAGCGAGCGCAGGCGGAAUGAUAAGUCUGAUGUGAAAGCCCACGGCUCAACCGUGGGACUGCAUCGGAAACUGUCAUUCUUGAGUGCAGAAGAGGAGAGUGGAAUUCCAUGUGUAGCGGUGGAAUGCGUAGAUAUAUGGAAGAACACCAGUGGCGAAGGCGGCUCUCUGGUCUGCAACUGACGCUGAGGCUCGAAAGCAUGGGUAGCGAACAGG
This 429-nucleotide ribosomal RNA is filed under the name bacterium. RNAcentral describes it as "partial 16S ribosomal RNA". It matches the Rfam family "Bacterial small subunit ribosomal RNA", at positions 355 to 776 of the family's 1533-position model. The record is from RNAcentral.